GAUGAACGCUAGCUACAGGCUUAACACAUGCAAGUCGCGGGGCAGCAUUUUCUUAGCUUGCUAAGGGAGAUGGCGACCGGCGCACGGGUGAGUAACGCGUAUCCAACCUUCCCAUGUCCACGGGAUAGCCCGUCGAAAGGCGGAUUAAUACCGUAUGAGGUCACAUGCGGGCAUCUAAAUGUGACGAAAGGUUUGGCGGACAUGGAUGGGGAUGCGUCCGAUUAGCUUGUUGGCGGGGUAACGGCCCACCAAGGCGACGAUCGGUAGGGGUUCUGAGAGGAAGGUCCCCCCACAUUGGAACUGAGACACGGUCCAAACUCCUACGGGAGGCAGCAGUGAGGAAUAUUGGUCAAUGGACGCAAGUCUGAACCAGCCAAGUAGCGUGCAGGAUGACGGCCCUAUGGGUUGUAAACCUCUUUUGUCGGGGAGUAACGUGCGGGACGGGUCCCGUAUUGAGAGUACCCGAAGAAAAGCAUCGGCUAACUCCGUGCCAGCAGCCGCGGU
Molecule: ribosomal RNA, 504 nt
Filed under: uncultured bacterium
Lineage: Bacteria
Description: bacterial SSU rRNA
Rfam family: Bacterial small subunit ribosomal RNA
Source: RNAcentral